ACGCACGCUGGCGGCGUGCUUCACCCCUGCAAGUCGCACGGAAAGGCCCUGCUUGCAGGGUACUCGAGUGGCGAACGGGUGAGUAACACGUGGGUGAUCUGCCCUGCACUUCGGGAUAAGCCUGGGAAACUGGGUCUAAUACCGGAUAGGAGCCAUUUUUAGUGUGAUGGUUGGAAAGUUUUUUCGGUGUAGGAUGAGCUCGCGGCCUAUCAGCUUGUUGGUGGGGUAAUGGCCUACCAAGGCGGCGACGGGUAGCCGGCCUGAGAGGGUGGACGGCCACAUUGGGACUGAGAUACGGCCCAGACUCCUACGGGAGGCAGCAGUGGGGAAUAUUGCACAAUGGGCGCAAGCCUGAUGCAGCGACGCCGCGGGGGGGAUGACGGCCUUCGGGUUGUAAACUCCUUUCGCUAGGGACGAAGCUUUUUGUGACGGUACCUAGAUAAGAAGCACCGGCUAACUACGUG
RNAcentral lists this ribosomal RNA (464 nucleotides) under uncultured bacterium. RNAcentral's name for it is "partial 16S ribosomal RNA". It matches the Rfam family "Bacterial small subunit ribosomal RNA", at positions 29 to 507 of the family's 1533-position model. The record is from RNAcentral.